Molecule: non-coding RNA, 146 nt
Filed under: Gracilibacillus phocaeensis
Lineage: Bacteria; Bacillati; Bacillota; Bacilli; Caryophanales; Bacillaceae
Description: FMN riboswitch (RFN element)
Rfam family: FMN riboswitch aptamer (RFN element)
About the family: The RFN element is a highly conserved domain that is found frequently in the 5'-untranslated regions of prokaryotic mRNAs that encode for flavin mononucleotide (FMN) biosynthesis and transport proteins.
Source: RNAcentral
UCCUUUGGGGCAGGGUGUAAUUCCCGACCGACGGUGAUAAAGUGGAGAACCGCUUUUCAGUCCGUGACCCGGAACACUUGCAAGAGUGUGAAGGUGGAUUUGGUGAAAAUCCAAAGCCGACAGUGAUAGUCUGGAUGGGAAAAGGA